AACGAACGCUGGCGGCAUGCCUAACACAUGCAAGUCGAACGAGACCUUCGGGUCUAGUGGCGCACGGGUGCGUAACGCGUGGGAACCUGCCCUUAGGUUCGGAAUAACUCCCCGAAAGGGGUGCUAAUACCGGAUAAUGUCUUCGGAUCAAAGAUUUAUCGCCUUUGGUUGGGCCCGCGUUGGUUUAGCUAGUUGGUAGGGUAAAAGCCUACCAAGGCGACGAUCCAUAGCUGGUCUGAGAGGAUGAUCAGCCACACUGGGACUGAGACACGGCCCAGACUCCUACGGGAGGCAGCAGUGGGGAAUAUUGGACAAUGGGCGAAAGCCUGAUCCAGCAAUGCCGCGUGAGUGAUGAAGGCCUUAGGGUUGUAAAGCUCUUUUACCCGGGAUGAUAAUGACAGUACCGGGAGAAUAAGCUCCGGCUAACUCCGU
Molecule: ribosomal RNA, 432 nt
Filed under: uncultured bacterium
Lineage: Bacteria
Description: partial 16S ribosomal RNA
Rfam family: Bacterial small subunit ribosomal RNA
Source: RNAcentral